AGUGGCGACCGGGUGACUACCACUGUGACUACCUGCCCUUGAGUGGGGGAUAACCUCGGGAAACCGAGGCUAAUACCGCAUAAAAUCGAAAGAUCAAAGGAGCAGUCCGCUUUUGGAGGGGGUCGCGGCUGAUUAGCUAGUUGGUAGGGUAAUGGCCUACCAAGGCAAAGAUCGGUAUCCGGCCUGAGAGGGCGCACGGACACACUGGAACUGAAACACGGUCCAGACUCCUACGGGAGGCAGCAGUGGGGAAUUUUGCGCAAUGGGGGAAACCCUGACGCAGCAACGCCGCGUGGAGGAUGAAGCCCCUUGGGGUGUAAACUCCUUUCGACCGGGAAAAUAAUGAUGGUACCGGUGGAAGAAGCACCGGCUAACUCUGUGCCAGCAGCCGCGGUAAUAUAGAGGGUGCGAGCGUUGUUCGGAAUUAUUGGGCGUAAAGGACGCGUAGGCGGUGCGGUAAGUCACCUGUGAAACCUCUGGGCUUAACUCAGAGCCUGCAGGCGA
This 504-nucleotide ribosomal RNA is filed under the name uncultured bacterium. RNAcentral describes it as "bacterial SSU rRNA". It matches the Rfam family "Bacterial small subunit ribosomal RNA", at positions 94 to 630 of the family's 1533-position model. The record is from RNAcentral.